UAGGGAAUCUUCGGCAAUGGACGGAAGUCUGACCGAGCAACGCCGCGUGAGUGAAGAAGGUUUUCGGAUCGUAAAGCUCUGUUGUAAGAGAAGAACGAGUGUGAGAGUGGAAAGUUCACACUGUGACGGUAUCUUACCAGAAAGGGACGGCUAACUACGUGCCAGCAGCCGCGGUAAUACGUAGGUCCCGAGCGUUGUCCGGAUUUAUUGGGCGUAAAGCGAGCGCAGGCGGUUAGAUAAGUCUGAAGUUAAAGGCUGUGGCUUAACCAUAGUAGGCUUUGGAAACUGUUUAACUUGAGUGCAAGAGGGGAGAGUGGAAUUCCAUGUGUAGCGGUGAAAUGCGUAGAUAUAUGGAGGAACACCGGUGGCGAAAGCGGCUCUCUGGCUUGUANCUGACGCUGAGGCUCGAAAGCGUGGGGAGCAAACAGGAUUAGAUACCCUGGUAGUCCACGCUGUAAACGAUGAGUGCUAGGUGUUAGACCCUUUCCGGGGUUUAGUGCCGUAGCUAACGCAUUAAGCACUCCGCCUGGGGAGUACGACCGCAAGGUUG
This 550-nucleotide ribosomal RNA is filed under the name uncultured bacterium. RNAcentral describes it as "bacterial SSU rRNA". It matches the Rfam family "Bacterial small subunit ribosomal RNA", at positions 355 to 896 of the family's 1533-position model. The record is from RNAcentral.